UGAGAAUGAACUUUUCACGCAAUUUAACAUGAGUACUUAAUUUGGAUAAUUUUUUUUGUAAAAAAAAACAUCUUUACUUAUAAGCUCAAAACCGAAAAUUCAAAAUAUCCAAACCGAUUAAUCUGAAACCGAACUAAAUAAUCCAAUCCAAUCCGAGCUUAUAAUUUGGAUGAGAUUUGGAUUGUCAUUUCUUCAAUCCGAAAAUUAAAAAUCCAAACCGAAAUUUUCAUAUUUAAUCCAUAACUAUCGAACGCCCACCCCCUACAUACAGUGAUUCUUGUCAAAUCAGCAUCUCAAAUUCAUUUGAAAACUUCAAAACCAAUGAAGCAACCAAUAGCAGCCCAAGCAAUAUGCUAGUGGGUACCUCAAAAUAGCACAAAGUACAAAGAUAAGAGCAAAACCAAACAAAAGUACGAGGCUAGCAAAAUUAUAGAAAGGUACUUUAAUUUCAUGCUAGAGUUAGAAAAAUCAAUUGUUCUUGCCUUGAAAUAGUAAAUGCAUCCUUCUACAGUACAGAAACGAAAAAUGAUACAAUAUAGCCGCGGUAAAAAUAAUGGUCGAAAAAAUAUAUAAAAAUUAUAUAUUUUUGUAUAUAUAUACAUUCUGAAUGUUAUAUACAAAAAAUAUACAAAUGUUAUACACUUUUUCGACUCCUGGAUAUAAAUAAUUUCUGGCACGGGUUAAAAGUGAUAAUAACUCGUACAGAAAAUCCAAUUAUACCGUACUAAAAUCCUGCGAAUCUACACCAAGAUUGUUUUUCUUCAUAAAUUCCAUCCAUUUACAAGAGCCUCUUACCAACUGAUUCAAAUUGAACCCAUCAUUUUUGACACUAGACAUAGAAUAUCACUAAAAUUUAACAACUACUACUAAAUUCUGAGUUCACUAUUCAAAAGUACAGCGAGUUCAAUACGAUGAAAUUUAAAGAUCAAAUCUAGCAAAUUUAAAUCCUAAAUAUAUAUCUAUUUGCCACCAAGGCUAAUCCUAAUUCUACUAUUAAAACAGACGCUCUCCUUAACACAUUCUAACAAGUUUCAAUAAUUUGUUGAGUCGAGGGUCUAUCAGAAAUAAUCACUUUAAUAUUUAAGGCUAGGGGUAAGGUUUGCAUAUACAUUACCCUCUUCGGACCUCACUUGUGGGAUUAUACUGGAUUGUUGUUGUUGCUGUUGAGAAUCAAAUCUAGUAAUGAAUAUGAUGAACCUGAUUCAUGAUAUAUAUAUGUCUUGCUCUAUCAAACUCCACAAUAUCGCGAUAAAAAGGCGUAAAUUAAUUUGACAUUGGAGUUUUAGGGAUAAGGUGAUGGAGCACUUUGGUCUGGUGAAGACCUCUGAGACUUGGAGGUAUAAGAAUAAUUUGAACGUUUCCUACAGAGUAAGAAAAUCACAGUGACAAGAAAAAGGAUGAAAAGAAUGACAAGUACCAGCAACAUAAUUUCUCCACUGAGAGCAAAACUAUGAUUCUUAGCAGAUAGCAUCGCGUCAUCUUUUUGCGAAAAAUCAUCAGGAGUCAUGUACGAGGGUGUAUUCAAAGGAUACAUCAGGAAAAAUAGUGCUAAGUGCUAACAAACUUUAUGGUAUAUUUAUUCCUCUUUUUCAUUAGGAUGUAGAAUAUCAGUGGAGCUGUAAGAAGGUGAGAUUUUAAGAUAGUUUCUUGGCAUGUACUUCUUG
This 1664-nucleotide long non-coding RNA is filed under the name Nicotiana tabacum (common tobacco). RNAcentral describes it as "long non-coding RNA (NTAB_LNC010447)". Lineage: Eukaryota; Viridiplantae; Streptophyta; Magnoliopsida; Solanales; Solanaceae. The record is from RNAcentral.